Molecule: ribosomal RNA, 926 nt
Filed under: Staphylococcus warneri
Lineage: Bacteria; Bacillati; Bacillota; Bacilli; Caryophanales; Staphylococcaceae
Description: bacterial SSU rRNA
Rfam family: Bacterial small subunit ribosomal RNA
Source: RNAcentral
UUUAUGGAGAGUUUGAUCCUGGCUCAGGAUGAACGCUGGCGGCGUGCCUAAUACAUGCAAGUCGAGCGAACAGAUAAGGAGCUUGCUCCUUUGACGUUAGCGGCGGACGGGUGAGUAACACGUGGAUAACCUACCUAUAAGACUGGGAUAACUUCGGGAAACCGGAGCUAAUACCGGAUAACAUAUUGAACCGCAUGGUUCAAUAGUGAAAGGCGGCUUUGCUGUCACUUAUAGAUGGAUCCGCGCCGUAUUAGCUAGUUGGUAAGGUAACGGCUUACCAAGGCAACGAUACGUAGCCGACCUGAGAGGGUGAUCGGCCACACUGGAACUGAGACACGGUCCAGACUCCUACGGGAGGCAGCAGUAGGGAAUCUUCCGCAAUGGGCGAAAGCCUGACGGAGCAACGCCGCGUGAGUGAUGAAGGUCUUCGGAUCGUAAAACUCUGUUAUCAGGGAAGAACAAAUGUGUAAGUAACUGUGCACAUCUUGACGGUACCUGAUCAGAAAGCCACGGCUAACUACGUGCCAGCAGCCGCGGUAAUACGUAGGUGGCAAGCGUUAUCCGGAAUUAUUGGGCGUAAAGCGCGCGUAGGCGGUUUUUUAAGUCUGAUGUGAAAGCCCACGGCUCAACCGUGGAGGGUCAUUGGAAACUGGAAAACUUGAGUGCAGAAGAGGAAAGUGGAAUUCCAUGUGUAGCGGUGAAAUGCGCAGAGAUAUGGAGGAACACCAGUGGCGAAGGCGACUUUCUGGUCUGUAACUGACGCUGAUGUGCGAAAGCGUGGGGAUCAAACAGGAUUAGAUACCCUGGUAGUCCACGCCGUAAACGAUGAGUGCUAAGUGUUAGGGGGUUUCCGCCCCUUAGUGCUGCAGCUAACGCAUUAAGCACUCCGCCUGGGGAGUACGACCGCAAGGUUGAAACUCAAAGGA